AUGUUUUUUUGCUUUGUAUAUUUUCAGUCUAACAACGUAGCAAAGGAGGAUGCCCUGUUUUCCGCCAGUGAUUCUCAGGGAGCCCUGUUAAAGACCUCUCUGCCCGCCAAGAAAACGCCACGGGAAAUCAGCGCCUUGGGAUUCAGUUGUUUCACUGUCUUCAUGGCAGAACCAGUGACAGACUGUGGUCAGCGCUGGGCCUAACACCUCCAUCACUGCCCCACCCUUGAUCCCUGCGGAGUCUGCAUGGGACCACCCUUUGGAACCUACAAAGUUCACUUACAAGAGCCGGAAAAGAUGGAGACAGGAAAUUCCAGCUGGAUAUUAUAGACAGCAUUUGGAAGAAACCUCUCUGUUUCAGAAGGACCAUCUGGUUCAGAUCUAGUGUUCCUCAAAAAUAGGAAGGAAGGAAUAUAUACAAAGAAUAACCUACCUGUUAUUUCAAGGAAGCAGGGUUUUUUUUUUUAAUAAUGUAGCGCCUGUUUGCUGACUGAUAGCAAAAUGAAAAACUGAAACUGAAAUCUCAAAUACUCCAGCUAAACUUUGAAUUUUGUAGGACCAUAAAUUUAGAGGAGACCUUAGUCCAACUUCUUCAUUUUACAAAUGAGGAAACGGGCCAAGACUUGCCCAACCUCACAGAGAUGAUAAGUAAAUCCACCUAGCCCCUUAGACUCUGUAUCAGUUCCUCAAAAAGCUACCAGUGUUUCAGAUAGAGUCAUUUAUGUAGCAGCAUAGUGUAGUGGGAAAAGCCUGGACUUUGGGUCCACUUGGAACUGGAAGGCCUAGAUUUAAGUCCUGGUUCUACCACUUUCCAGUUCUGUGAAUUCCACUUUAUUAGCCUCAGUUUCCUUAUCUACAAAAUGAGGGGAUUGGUCCAAGUGAUUUCUAAGGUCCUUUACAAAGCUCUAACAGUCUGUGGGACCAUCCUCCAGUUUUCAAAGUACUUUCAAGUAUGUUAUUUAGUACUGUACAAAUCAAACUACCGCGGGGAUACUUUAUGAGGCUAAAUAAAAUAAUAGCAAAAUUCA
This 1028-nucleotide long non-coding RNA is filed under the name Vombatus ursinus (common wombat). RNAcentral describes it as "lncRNA (ENSVURG00010008778.1)". The record is from RNAcentral. Lineage: Eukaryota; Metazoa; Chordata; Mammalia; Diprotodontia; Vombatidae.